Molecule: ribosomal RNA, 490 nt
Filed under: uncultured bacterium
Lineage: Bacteria
Description: partial 16S ribosomal RNA
Rfam family: Bacterial small subunit ribosomal RNA
Source: RNAcentral
AUUGAACGCUGGCGGCAGGCCUAACACAUGCAAGUCGAACGGUAACAGAAAGCAGCUUGCUGCUUUGCUGACGAGUGGCGGACGGGUGAGUAAUGUCUGGGAAACUGCCUGAUGGAGGGGGAUAACUACUGGAAACGGUAGCUAAUACCGCAUAACGUCGCAAGACCAAAGAGGGGGACCUUCGGGCCUCUUGCCAUCGGAUGUGCCCAGAUGGGAUUAGCUAGUAGGUGGGGUAACGGCUCACCUAGGCGACGAUCCCUAGCUGGUCUGAGAGGAUGACGAGCCACACUGGAACUGAGACGCGGUCCAGACUCCUACGGGAGGCAGCAGUGGGGAAUAUUGCACAAUGGGCGCAAGCCUGAUGCAGCCAUGCCGCGUGUAUGAAGAAGGCCUUCGGAUUGUAAAGUACUUUCAGCGGGGAGGAAGGGAGUAAAGUUAAUACCUUUGCUCAUUGACGUUACCCGCAGAAGAAGCACCGGCUAACUCCGUG